UAAACCGUGGCUCAGUUCAGAUCGUAGGCUGCAACUCGCCUACGUGAAGGAGGAAUCGCUAGUAAUCGCAGGUCAGCAUACUGCGGUGAAUACGUUCCCGGGCCUUGUACACACCGCCCGUCACACCAUGGAAGUUGGCCACGCCCGAAGUCGUUACUCCAACCCUCUGGGAGGAGGACGCCGAAGGUGGGGCUGAUGACUGGGGCGAGGUCGUAACAAGGUAGCCGUACCGGAAGGUGCGGCUGGAUCACCUCCUAACA
RNAcentral lists this ribosomal RNA (260 nucleotides) under uncultured Synechococcus sp. Its description in RNAcentral is "partial 16S ribosomal RNA". It matches the Rfam family "Bacterial small subunit ribosomal RNA", at positions 1277 to 1533 of the family's 1533-position model. Lineage: Bacteria; Bacillati; Cyanobacteriota; Cyanophyceae; Synechococcales; Synechococcaceae. The record is from RNAcentral.